GACGAACGCUGGCGGCGUGCCUAAUACAUGCAAGUAGAACGCUGAAGGAGGAGCUUGCUUCUCUGGAUGAGUUGCGAACGGGUGAGUAACGCGUAGGUAACCUGCCUGGUAGCGGGGGAUAACUAUUGGAAACGAUAGCUAAUACCGCAUAACAGUAGAUAUCGCAUGAUAUCUACUUGAAAGGUGCAAUUGCAUCACUACCAGAUGGACCUGCGUUGUAUUAGCUAGUUGGUGAGGUAACGGCUCACCAAGGCGACGAUACAUAGCCGACCUGAGAGGGUGAUCGGCCACACUGGGACUGAGACACGGCCCAGACUCCUACGGGAGGCAGCAGUAGGGAAUCUUCGGCAAUGGACGGAAGUCUGACCGAGCAACGCCGCGUGAGUGAAGAAGGGUUUCGGAUCGUAAAGCUCUGUUGUAAGAGAAGAACGAGUGUGAGAGUGGAAAAUUCACACUGUGACGGUAUCUUACCAGAAAGGGACGGCUAACUACGUG
Molecule: ribosomal RNA, 495 nt
Filed under: uncultured bacterium
Lineage: Bacteria
Description: partial 16S ribosomal RNA
Rfam family: Bacterial small subunit ribosomal RNA
Source: RNAcentral